GAUCGCUUCAGCGGCAGGAUAUUAAAAUUGGAAAGACAGAGAAGACCAGCACGGCCCCUUUGCAAGGACGGCAUGUGAAUUCAUGCAGAGUUAGCUAUUUUU
Molecule: small nuclear RNA, 102 nt
Organism: Peromyscus maniculatus bairdii (prairie deer mouse)
Lineage: Eukaryota; Metazoa; Chordata; Mammalia; Rodentia; Cricetidae
Source: RefSeq, a predicted model, not a curated record